Molecule: non-coding RNA, 246 nt
Organism: Yamadazyma jaroonii
Lineage: Eukaryota; Fungi; Ascomycota; Pichiomycetes; Serinales; Debaryomycetaceae
Source: the annotation of a GenBank genome assembly
AAAUCUCUUUGCCUUUUGGCUUAGAUCAAGUGUAGUAUCUGUUCUUUUCAGUGUAACAACUGAAAUUUAUUGUUGUUUCUCUUUGAGAUCAACUUAAAUUUUACGUUUGAAUUACCAAACUUUGAUUUUUGGAGAAUUUAGGUCUUUUAUUCAUUCUAAGUUCUUUUAGAAAUUAGAAUAAAUGGAGAUUAUAGUGUCGUUGCCAUUGCACAUUAGGAUUCAUUUCUUAAGUAGGCUCCUGACGCA